This 267-nucleotide ribosomal RNA is filed under the name uncultured bacterium. Its description in RNAcentral is "partial 16S ribosomal RNA". It matches the Rfam family "Bacterial small subunit ribosomal RNA", at positions 1225 to 1500 of the family's 1533-position model. The record is from RNAcentral.
UUACAAUGGCAGGUACANAGGGGUGCUACCGGGUGACCGGAUGCCGAUCUCGAAAACCUGUCCCAGUUCGGACUGGAGUCUGCAACCCGACUCCACGAAGUUGGAUUCGCUAGUAAUCGCGCAUCAGCCAUGGCGCGGUGAAUACGUUCCCGGGCCUUGUACACACCGCCCGUCAAGCCAUGGGAGCCGGGGGCGCCUGAAGUCCGGGACCGCGAGGACCGGCCUAAGGCGAAACUGGUGACUGGGGCUAAGUCGUAACAAGGUAUC